CCUGGUGGCUCAGAUGGUAAAGCAUCUGCCUGCAAUGCGGGAGACCUGGGUUCAAUCCCUGGGUCAGGA
Non-coding RNA from Bos taurus (domestic cattle), 69 nucleotides. Lineage: Eukaryota; Metazoa; Chordata; Mammalia; Artiodactyla; Bovidae. The record is from Rfam.